GCUUAUGAUCCACAUGGAUUUCCUCUCUCCCUCCAGCUGCAUUGCGGGACCUGUUGCUGUUGCCCUCUGUAUGCCUCCUCAAUAUGCAAGGUAUAUCAGCAUGAAGAUCUACCGACUCAAUGUGAAAGAAGCACAGAUGGGUACUAGCAGAUGUGAAAUUCUUCUUGGAUUAUUUCUUAUUAGUAAUGCUGAAGAAUAAGCCUCUAUCUUAGGGGUAGGCAGCGUUUUUUGGUCAGAGUGCCAAAAACCACCACAAUGCCUAGCUUGGAAGGUCCCGGAGUGCCAAUAUAGCAGAAAAACAAAAUGAGGGCAAGGGGUACAUGGCAGGAUGCCCUGCUUGUGCCCCUUGCCCCCCCACCCAAAGCACCUGCCCCACAGCCUUACUGCCCCUUGCCCCCCCACCCAAAGCCCCUGCUCUACAGCUCAGGCUCUGUAGUUGCCAGCAGCUACCCCAGCUCUGCUUGCUGCAGCUGCCCAGAGCCUAGGCUGGCUCCAAACAGCUGUGCCAGGCUCAUCACCUCUGUGCCGGGAGCGGAGGAGAGACCAGGUCUGCGCUGCCUCGGACCCCUCCCCCACUGCCUGCUCUGAGGCACAUCUGCACACGCCGUGUGGAGCUGAUGCAGGAGCCCGGCACAGCUGUUUGGAGCCUCCUGGCUUCAGCUGCCCCUGCUCUGGGGAGCUGGUGUGUUACGCCUCAGCUCUGUAUUCUUGGGCAACCCUGGCACAGGAUGCAGUCUGUCUGACUCACAAAGGACUCACCCCCCCCCUCCCUCCCCUCCUCUACAUAAAAAACUGAUUAAGAUGCAGUGAGAGACGCACUUAAAACUCUCCAGAUAAGGGUGAUAAGAGUGAAACAACUGCCCUAGGUCUCAUUUACAUCCGAGAUGGAACCAGAUGACCAUUCAUUUACAUGAGAGAUGGAAAACAGAAAGCCUGAAGCAGAGACUGCAGUGAAUUCUGGGACCAGAGAAGCAGGAGAGCGCUGCAUGAUGGGGAAUCUGUGCUUCCAACGUUAAUUAACCCAUGUUCACACACACCCAGCUCAGCAUUUAUCAGACCAGUUCUAAUCUGGAUUUGCUAAGGACUUUUCCCCCCCCAGACACACACACACAGCUCUAAGUUUAAUAGGCAUCUCGGGCCGUACAUUCCCCGGUCCCACUAUGGGAGGCCUAUUUAAACUUGAUUGACUAAAACUCGGUUGCCAGGUUAGGGAAUGCUGAGGCAAGAGACCGAGUCAGAGGGGGUACGGGCAACAUUUGAACGAUGGUUAAGGGUUCAUCACAGCAUCCAGCCUGCUGGAGCCCUAAUCCCAGGUGUUGUCGUAUCUUUCCCGAGACGACUGGUGGGAGUCCUCUCCACAAAAGGUUAUGAGCACCCCAAUAAUUGCUUUAAGUCUGUUAAAAGACUAUAGUAAAAUCUGGAAAAGUCAUGCUAAGCUGAGGCUUGUGCACAACAAGUAAAAAUCCAAAAUCCUGAUGCUGCAAGCUAUCUAUUGUUCCUGAAGAAACCAUGAGAUAUCCCGUCAGGAUAUCUGCCAUCCAUAGGAAUCUCAAGCUGGCUCCCAAGUAUUUGGGUUACUCCCUAAUCUUAAGUGUUUCCUGAUUAUCAAUCAGUUAUCUGAGAUGGUCCAAACCAGAUAACCCCUUGUCAAUAGAAAAGACAAUGAUUUACACUACUGAGGGUGCUUUGAAGCAGCUGAACUGAGGGUAUAAAAAUCUGUAAGUGUGUGUGCUUAAGAAGAGAAGAAAGAGAAAGAAAAAGAAGAAGCAGGAGGAAAGAGGGAGAAAGAAAGAAGAAGAAGAAAACUCCUGUGCUGACACCAUCCCCUGUCAUUCUUGGGACACUGGAAGAACAGAUCGUCUCUCUCUUCAAGGAUUGUGCUACGGACUGUGCCUGUCAGCUUUGCAGCCUGGGUACCGUGGACUCGGUGAGAUUCCCAGCGUUCUCUCUUCUUUCUAGGCAUAAACUUCUGAACCUGAACUGUAUCAGUUAAGCUUGAGCUAAGUUUCCCCAAAUACUUAGUGAAACCAGGGUAGUAUUGUCAUUGUUUGUGCUUGUUUUUCUUUUGCAUGUCUAUUACUACUAGUACUAUUAUAUAUUUCAUAUGCUUAGCAAUAAAUAACUUUUAUAGGCAAA
This is a long non-coding RNA of Alligator mississippiensis (American alligator), 2136 nucleotides long. RefSeq lists it as uncharacterized. NCBI's taxonomy places the organism in Eukaryota, Metazoa, Chordata, Crocodylia, Alligatoridae. The transcript is spliced from 3 exons. The record is from RefSeq and is a predicted model, not a curated record.